AAAUGUAUGAAACCAAACUGUGACUCAGCCACAGCGAGCCCACUGCUCAAGACCUCUUGGCAGUGGCUCUGGGUCAUAGUUUUCAAAUUUGGCUCGGAAUAAAUCUCUUUAAAAUUAUUUUACAGAGUUUGGCCUUUUUUCCAUUGACAAUUUGGCGUAGUCAGCAGGAUCUUGGAGAAGACUCAGGACCCUCUAAGGAGCAGUGCGGACUCGGCGCCAGGCACCGGCAUGGCCCUUUUAGGCCUCCAACUUCGAGGUUCUCCUUUGGCGGGACUGGACAAGGUUGUGAGUGGGUUCCUGUACGCCGGCUCAAAAGGCGAUGUCCCAGUCAAGAUGCCGCACAAGAUGACAACACGACAUCUAAAACUAAAGAAGAGAAAGCAGUUGGUAACGCUGG
This is a non-coding RNA of Microcebus murinus (gray mouse lemur), 397 nucleotides long. NCBI's taxonomy places the organism in Eukaryota, Metazoa, Chordata, Mammalia, Primates, Cheirogaleidae. The record is from RefSeq and is a predicted model, not a curated record.